GUGGGGAAUAUUGGACAAUGGGCGAAAGCCUGAUCCAGCCAUGCCGCGUGUGUGAAGAAGGUCUUCGGAUUGUAAAGCACUUUAAGUGAGGAGGAGGCUACCGAGAUUAAUACUCUUGGAUAGUGGACGUUACUCGCAGAAUAAGCACCGGCUAACUCUGUGCCAGCAGCCGCGGUAAUACAGAGGGUGCAAGCGUUAAUCGGAUUUACUGGGCGUAAAGCGCGCGUAGGUGGCCAAUUAAGUCAAAUGUGAAAUCCCCGAGCUUAACUUGGGAAUUGCAUUCGAUACUGGUUGGCUAGAGUAUGGGAGAGGAUGGUAGAAUUCCAGGUGUAGCGGUGAAAUGCGUAGAGAUCUGGAGGAAUACCGAUGGCGAAGGCAGUCAUCUGGCCUAAUACUGACACUGAGGUGCGAAAGCGUGGGGAGCAAACAGGAUUAGAUACCCGUGUAGUCC
This 451-nucleotide ribosomal RNA is filed under the name uncultured bacterium. RNAcentral's name for it is "partial 16S ribosomal RNA". It matches the Rfam family "Bacterial small subunit ribosomal RNA", at positions 354 to 796 of the family's 1533-position model. The record is from RNAcentral.